CAUGUAUGAGUGAGUAUGACAACUAGAACCAUAACCGAAUCUUAAAAACCUAAGUAUUAAAUCUUUGUUAGAAGAUACAAAGACAAAGACUCAUACGGACUUCAACUACACUAUCAAAGCUUGGAGAAGCAAGAAGAAGCUUGGUUAGUGUUUUGGAGUCGAAUAUGACUUGAUGCCAUGUGUAUGACUCAAUAUAAAAACUAGAACCGCAACAGAUCUUAAAAGCAUAAGUAUUGUAUCAUUGUUAGAAGAUACAAUGACGAAGACUCAUAUGGACUUCGGCUACACCAUCAAAGCUUUGAGAAGCAAGAAGCAGCUUGGUUAGUGGUUCGGAGUCGAAUAUGACUUGAUGUCAUGUGUAUGAGUGAGUAUAAAAACUAGAACCGCAACGGAUCUUAAAAGCCUAAAUAUUGUAUCCUUGUUAGAAGAUACAUAGACAAAGACUCAUACGGAAUUCGGCUAAACCAUCAAAGCUUUAAGAAGCAAGAAGAAGCUUGGUUAGUGUUUUGGAGAGAAAUAUGACUAGGUGUCAUGUGUAUGAGUGAGUAUACCAACUAGAACCGCAAUUGGAAUUUUAAAAGCCUAAGUACUGUAUCCUUAUAAGAAGAUACAAAGACAAACACUCAUACGGACUUUGGCUACACCAUCAAAGCUUUGAGAAGCAAGAAGAAGCUUGGUUAGUGUUUUCGAGUGGAAUAUGACUUGAUGUGAUGUGUAUGAUUGAGUAUAAGAAAUUAAACUGCAACCGGAUCUUAAAAGCCUAAGUAGUGUUUCCUUGUUAGAAGAUACAAAGGCAAAGCCUCAUACAGACUUUAGCUAUACCAUCAAAGCCUUGAGAAGCAAGAAGAAAUUUGGUUAGUGUUUUGGAGUCAAAUAUUACUAGAUGUCAUGUGUAUGAGUGAGUAUGACAACUAGAACCAUAACCGGAUCUUAAAAACCUAAGUAUUAAAUCUUUGUUAGAAGAUACAAAGACAAAGACUCAUACGGACUUUAACUACACUAUCAAAGCUUGGAGAAGCAAGAAGAAGCUUGGUUAGUGUUUUGGAUUCGAAUAUGACUUGAUGUCAUGUGUAUGACUCCGUAUAAAAACUAGAACCGCAACAGAUCUUAAAAGCAUAAGUAUUGUAUCAUUGUUAGAAGAUACAAUGACGAAGACUCAUAUGGACUUCGGCUAAACCAUCAAAGCUUUGAGAAGCAAGAAGCAGCUUGGUUAGUGGUUCGGAGUCGAAUAUGACUUGAUGUCAUGUGUAUGAGUGAGUAUAAAAACUAGAACCGCAACGGAUCUUAAAAGCCUAAAUAUUGUAUCCUUGUUAGAAGAUACAUAGACAAAGACUCAUACGGAAUUCGGCUAAACCAUCAAAGCUUUUAGAAGCAAGAAGAAGCUUGGUUAGUGUUUUGGAGUGAAAUAUGACUAGCUGUCAUGUGUAUGGGUGAGUAUACCAUCUAGAACCGCAAUUGGAAUUUUAAAAGCCUAAGUAUUGUAUCCUUGUUAGAAGAUACAAAGACAAACACUCAUACGGACUUUGGCUACACCAUCAAAGCUUUGAGAAGCAAGAAGAAGCUUGGUUAGUGUUUUGGAGUCGAAUAUGACUUGAUGCCAUGUGUAUGACUCAAUAUAAAAACUAGAACCGCAACAGAUCUUAAAAGCAUAAGUAUUGUAUCAUUGUUAGAAGAUACAAUGACGAAGACUCAUAUGGACUUCGGCUACACCAUCAAAGCUUUGAGAAGCAAGAAGCAGCUUGGUUAGUGGUUCGGAGUCGAAUAUAACUUGAUGUCAUGUGUAUGAGUGAGUAUAAAAACUAGAACCGCAACGGAUCUUAAAAGCCUAAAUAUUGUAUCCUUGUUAGAAGAUACAUAGACAAAGACUCAUACGGAAUUCGGCUAAUCCAUCAAAGCUUUUAGAAGCAAGAAGAAGCUUGGUUAGUGUUUUGGAGUGAAAUAUGACUAGAUGUCAUGUGUAUGGGUGAGUAUACCAUCUAGAACCGCAAUUGGAAUUUUAAAAGCCUAAGUAUUGUAUCCUUGUUAGAAGAUACAAAGACAAACACUCAUACGGACUUUGGCUACACCAUCAAAGCUUCGAGAAGCAAGAAGAAGCUUGGUUAGUGUUUUGGAGUCGAAUAUGACUUGAUGCCAUGUGUAUGACUCAAUAUAAAAACUAGAACCGCAACAGAUCUUAAAAGCAUAAGUAUUGUAUCAUUGUUAGAAGAUACAAUGACGAAGACUCAUAUGGACUUCGGCUACACCAUCAAAGCUUUGAGAAGCAAGAAGCAGCUUGGUUAGUGGUUCGGAGUCGAAUAUGACUUGAUGGCAUGUGUAUGAGUGAGUAUAAAAACUAGAACCGCAACGGAUCUUAAAAGCCUAAAUAUUGUAUCCUUGUUAGAAGAUACAUAGACAAAGACUCAUACGGUAUUCGGCUAAACCAUCAAAGCUUUUAGAAGAAAGAAGAAGGUUGGUUAGUGUUUUGGAGUGAAAUAUGACUAGAU
Molecule: small RNA, 2483 nt
Filed under: Arabidopsis thaliana (thale cress)
Lineage: Eukaryota; Viridiplantae; Streptophyta; Magnoliopsida; Brassicales; Brassicaceae
Description: ATSL270200
Source: RNAcentral